CAGAGAUAAGCCCGCUUUUGUUUGUGGAAACGAUCAGUCACAACAUUGCUCAGCACCGCUGUUGCAGAAUUAUUGGUUUAAUCAAUCAACCGUUCGCCAACCGUCUAGCCAAAGCAAAAGAAUGGCCUUGAGGCCUUGGAACUGGCCCGCACUUGUAUCUUUUUUCUUCUUCCCCUGCUUACUGGAGAAUGCUGAUGGAGCGCUGAAGAUUAGCCGGAUUACAUGCAGUGCUGUGAUUUUUGUCUCGCACGGUGAUCAGAACGCCAAUCUGUCCCCUCACAGCACUUGGGCUAGGCUGAGUACCCUGAAGAAAAGGCCUGAUUUUGUCUGAUGGACCUGUGGAACUGAUGUGAGUAACCUGGAUGAGUGCAUUAGUAUUCCAAGGCUGCGUCUCAUGAUUUUCCUCUUGUGAAAGGGCAUUUCCCUCCAAACCAGAUGUGAUUCCUAUAUGACUGUGACUUUUUGCUUCUCAAGAUUUUGACAAGCCACAUUCAUAACAGACAUUCCAUUCCAUCUGCAGGGUGAUUGCAGGGAUAUGAAUGCCUGGGGAUCAUUGUGAACUGUCACGGCCUUGCCUUGCCUCGCCUGACUGGGUUGGAGGAGGGAGCUUCAACAGGCCAGCAGGGACUGACUGCACACAUUCAGUGUGCUGGCAUUAACCUCUGCAGGCCUCUCCUUCCUGUACCCCUCAGCAGAUCUGAAAGGUGUAACCUCUACUGAUUUCCCUGUGGUCGGAGUGCAUCUGAAGAGCCUAUUUGCACUCGAAAAGCUACUCGGUACUUCUCUGGCAGAGCAUGGGCAGGAUAGCCUACUUGCCAGGGGAUUUCUGUUGGCUACUCUCUUCCAUAAUUAGCCCACCCACAUUCACAGUCAUAUGAGGAUGUAUUCGGUUUUCUGUCAAAGAAUUGCUGUCUUGUAGGACAUAGGCUAGACUACUUCUGAAUGGAGAAUGAUGAUCAAACACAAGUUUCUGUCAUACAUAUAAUGAUGGAUAGCAAAUUAUUUAUUAACAUUCACAGUUAAAGUGAACAAUGCAGCUAGUUUUGAGCGACUGAAAAUGAUGCUUUUUAAAGAACCCUUGUAUAAUAGGCUAACACAUCUAUGCUACAUUUAAAUUCAAUUGUAUGUUCUCAAGUUGCCAUAAUUUGACAAAUGUAUUUUUCUCUGAUGACAAAAAAUGUAUGUCCCUUUCCAUUCAAGCUGAAUUUAAU
Molecule: long non-coding RNA, 1211 nt
Organism: Alosa sapidissima (American shad)
Lineage: Eukaryota; Metazoa; Chordata; Actinopteri; Clupeiformes; Clupeidae
Exons: 5
Source: RefSeq, a predicted model, not a curated record